RNAcentral lists this ribosomal RNA (467 nucleotides) under uncultured bacterium. RNAcentral's name for it is "partial 16S ribosomal RNA". It matches the Rfam family "Bacterial small subunit ribosomal RNA", at positions 28 to 507 of the family's 1533-position model. The record is from RNAcentral.
GAUGAACGCUGACAGAAUGCUUAACACAUGCAAGUCAACCUGAAUUGGGGUUUUUAGCUUAGGUUUGGGUGGCGGACCGGGGAGUAACGCGUAAAGAACUUGCCUCACAGCUAGGGACAACAUUUGGAAACGGAUGCUAUUACCUAAUAUCAUGAUAAUACGGCAUCCUAUAAUGAUGUAAGCUAUAAGCGCUGUGAGAGAGCUUUGCGUCGCUUUAGCUAGUUGGAGAGGUAACGGCUCACCAAGGCGAUGAUGGGUAGCCGGCCUGAGAGGGUGAUCGGCCACAAGGGGACUGAGACACGGCCCGUACUCCUGCGGGAGGCAGCAGUGGGGAAUAUUGGACAAUGGACCGAGAGUCUGAUCCAGCAAUUCUGUGUGCACGAUGAAGUUUUUCGGAAUGUAAAGUGCUUUCAGUUGGGAAGAAACAAAUGACGGUACCAACAGAAGAAGUGACGGCUAAAUACGUG